This is a long non-coding RNA of Dermacentor silvarum, 2223 nucleotides long. RefSeq lists it as uncharacterized. The record is from RefSeq and is a predicted model, not a curated record. Lineage: Eukaryota; Metazoa; Arthropoda; Arachnida; Ixodida; Ixodidae. The transcript has 3 exons.
CAGCCGAUAUUGUAAAAGUGUUAUUGCUUCAGGUUUACUUGCCGUCUAUAGACAAGAGUCGUUAAACUCGGCCCAACCCGUGUACGCUGUAACCAAGCGGAGUUACAGGCGGAUAAUACGGAGCUACGUUUGAUAUAAGCCACUGGGAUUGAAUAUACUGCUGACAUUUCUUUAAAGCCUUCUUGUAGAGUUUAUUAUAGACAUGGUGUAUAUACUUCCGCAUUUGUUCACCACAUUAUAUGACCUCCGUAGUCGCUCUCGGCAAUCCCAAGACAGUCUUUACAGUUGUUUUUCAUAGCAUUACUUUUGCGGCAGUAAAAUAAAGAAAGCAAAAUGCCAAUCCAAUCAUGUAAAUCGAGGUUAUGAAUGCCAGUUUUAGCGAGAAGCGGAUUACAAACAGGCAUCAUGCUAACAGCACAGAGACUUGUAAUGUGUACAGCUGACAACGCAGAAUUUGCUAGUGUGCGAUGAACCGAUGUCGUGUAUGUGGUGUGCGCCUUAUGUGUCGUCUGAUUCUCAGAUACUCUGUAGGUUCUCCCCAUAUCUAGGCUGCAUCACUAACAUCGGGUGGUUUUUCGCAGACUGAUAUCCCGCGCUAUAAAUUCAUUAAAGCUUCUCGUUCACUUACAAUGUGCGCUGAUACUCUGAGCCCACCCAGUCCUUUCCAGGCGCUAUAUGCCUGUGCGGCCGAGCAUAUGCGUACGUCAUUAGUGUAUUGAUUGCUUUGACAUAUCACCGGAACAGACUGCACUAACAUGUGCGCAGCUAGGUAUCCCAUUUGGCGGUACGUUGAAAGCUAUGCUAGAAAUGCACUACAUUACUCAUCGUCGCUGGCCAUAAUGCUAGCGCCUGACGUGCGUGCUAACGGUUUUUACAAACACUGCGUUCAUCCAAGUGUGCACUCCUGCUCCAUGCGAUAGCCCACAGCGUUUGUAAUACAGCGCGCCAAGGCAUUUCCUUUUUCCAUGGAAAGAACUGAAAAAUGGAAGGUUAAAGCAACCGGUUUCGCGCGCAUGGAACGCAGAGAGAGAGAGAGAGCGACAAUAAAAAAAAAAGAAAAAAAAAAGAAGAGAAACGGGCAAAGGCGCUCAGAUUUCUCGGAGCACGUACGCCGUCGCCGGCCGCAGCUCCUGCGCAUGCGCAGCGGCAGCAACGGCGGCGCGCCAUCUCUCCGCGUCGAUUUGAAUUCUCAACGGCUGCGCCAGGCAAGUCAACGCUUGUUGCUGCUGGUGAGCUGCCUGCACCUUGGUGUCUGUGUAUUCGUCUCGACUUUGUGGCAUCACACGUCAACUACACUGAACGCGGGUGUCAUAGACUGCCAGGGAAUUUUCAUGAAAACAGCCAGGGAAAGCUUGGAAAAACAUCAGGGAAAUUGAAAAUGACAACAUAGCAUGCACCUGCAGCACCUUCGGAACCGCUUACACGAAGGUCAAGGCCAGCCAGGCAACCGUGCUUGCCAAGGGGAAGCAGCAUUAAAUAUGUAAAUAUUCUCUUUUGAUGAUAGCAUAAGACAUGCAUUUUAAUAAAUUAAUGUAUUAUAUCGUUCAAUAAAAACAUUUAAUUCAAUAUCGGUGCACUUGUUUUCUUUUUUGCACUACAUGAGUCUGCACUAGUGGAAUUGCUUGAAAUAUUUCUUUCGGCUACAUAUGAGAGUACAGCUGGUUCAGGAUCAUUAUUAAUCUAUUAACAUGAAUGCAUAAAUGCAGAUGGGAAGCAACAGGUGCACAUGCAUAAUAUACGUUCAAAAUUUUGUUGCCGCCAUAUGUAAACAAAAAUUUUAACUACCUUGUAGAUAGAUUUCAUUCAAGCGAAUGCAUUGCAUGCGACUAAACUUUCUUCAAUGUGCAAUUACACAAAUGAUCAUGCAGCUUUACAUAAUGAUUCACGGCUGCAUACAUUUUAGAUUUUUGACUGCUUCCAUCUGCAUGCAUGCUUUUCUAUGUACAGUUCCCUAUGUAUGUUCCCAUAUGCAUACUGGAUACAAUAAAUUUUUAUAGACAUUUCCAAUAAUCUGCUUAUUAGCAAACCCCAGCAGCGAGUGUUUAUGGAAUAACAUUGCCUGCCGAAACAUAGUUAGAAAAAUGUGGUGUAUUAUCUAGUAUAUAUGGUGUCCCAGUAAUUUUAGCCAAGCUGGUCAAUGAAAAUGAAAGGUUAAAAACAACACGGUGCAAGAUAUAUGAUCAUAAAAAGACCUGAAGGUCAGACCUCUGAAUUCAAGGCCGA